RNAcentral lists this ribosomal RNA (485 nucleotides) under uncultured bacterium. Its description in RNAcentral is "partial 16S ribosomal RNA". It matches the Rfam family "Bacterial small subunit ribosomal RNA", at positions 899 to 1397 of the family's 1533-position model. The record is from RNAcentral.
ACUCAAAUGAAUUGACGGGGGCCCGCACAAGCAGCGGAGCGUGUGGUUUAAUUCGACGCGACGCGUAGAACCUUACCAGGGUUUGACAUCGCCUCGUCAGCCAGGGAAACCUGGUCCUCCCGCAAGGGACGGGGUGACAGAUGCUGCAUGGCUGUCGUCAGCUCGUGCCGUGAGGUGUUGGGUUAAGUCCCGCAACGAGCGCAACCCUCGGGGCUAGUUACCGUGUCUAGCCCGACUGCCGCGACAAACGCGGAGGAAGGUGGGGAUGAAGUCAAGUCAGCACGGCUCUUACAUCCUGGGCGACACACACGCUACAAUGGACGCGACAACGGGAUGCGAAGUCGCAAGGCGGAGCCAAUCCUAGCAAAGGCGUCCUCAGUUCAGAUCGGCGUCUGCAACCCGACGCCGUGAAGGCGGAGUUGCUAGUAACCGCGGGUCAGCACACCGCGGUGAAUACGUUCCCGGGCCUUGUACACACCGCCCGU